CCUACGGGUGGCAGCAGUGGGGAAUAUUGCACAAUGGGGGAAACCCUGAUGCAGCGACGCCGCGUGAGGGAAGAAGUACCUCUGUACGUAAAGCUCUAUCAGCAGGGAAGAAAAUCACGGUACCUGUCCACGACGCCCCGGCAAACUCAGGGUCAGCAGCCGCGGUAAUCCGGAGGGGGCAAGCGGUAACCGGGUUGACUGGGUUGAAGGGGAGCGUUGUCGGCAGUUUAAGUCUGGUGUGAAAGCCUGUGGCUCAACCGUGGAACUGCUGUGGAAACUGGGAGGCUGGAGUGCGGGAGGGGCAGGCGGAAUGCGUGGUGUAGCGGUGAAAUGCUUAGAUAUUAGGCAGAACACCGAUUGCGAAGGCAGCUUAC
RNAcentral lists this ribosomal RNA (374 nucleotides) under uncultured bacterium. RNAcentral's name for it is "partial 16S ribosomal RNA". It matches the Rfam family "Bacterial small subunit ribosomal RNA", at positions 338 to 729 of the family's 1533-position model. The record is from RNAcentral.